Molecule: ribosomal RNA, 1243 nt
Filed under: metagenome
Description: bacterial LSU rRNA
Rfam family: Bacterial large subunit ribosomal RNA
Source: RNAcentral
UGAAUACGAGAUGCUACGGCGUCGAAGCAGUCUAUGUCAUACUUCCAAGAAAAGCUUGCACUGUCAUAAACAAAUAAUGCCUGUACCAUAACCGACACAGGUGGGUAGGUAGAGUAUACUAAGGGGCGCGAGAUAACUCUCUCUAAGGAACUCGGCAAAAUGACUCCGUAACUUCGGGAGAAGGAGUGCCUUAUUUUAUAAGGUUGCAAUAACAAGAUCCAAGCAACUGUUUACCAAAAACACAGGUCUCCGCUAAGUCGUAAGACGAUGUAUGGGGGCUGACGCCUGCCCAGUGCCAGAAGGUUAAAGAAGUUGGUUAGCAUCCGCGAAGCUGAUAACUGAAGCCCUGGUGAACGGCGGCCGUAACGAUAACGGUCCUAAGGUAGCGAAAUUCCUUGUCGGGUAAGUUCCGACCCGCACGAAAGGCGUAAUGAUUUGGAUACUGUCUCAGAGAGGGGCUCGGUGAAAUAGACUUGUCUGUGAAGAUGCGGACUACCUGCACCAGGACAGAAAGACCCUAUGAAGCUUUACUGUAACUUGAAAUUGAAAUUGGACUUUACUUGCGCAGUAUAGGUGGGAGGCGUUGAGAAUAUUCUUGCGGGAAUGUUGGAGCCAUCAGUGAGAUACCACUCUUGUAAUGUUAGAUUUCUAACUUUGUAUCAUUAUCUGGUCAAAGGACAGUUUCAGGCGGGCAGUUUGACUGGGGCGGUCGCCUCCCAAACGGUAACGGAGGCGCACAAAGGUUUCCUCUGAACGGGUAGAAAUCGUAUCUAGAGUGUAAAGGCAUAAGGAAGCUUGACUGUGAGACCUACAAGUCGAGCAGGGACGAAAGUCGGUCUUAGUGAUCUGACGGUGCUGAGUGGAAAGGCCGUCACUCAACGGAUAAAAGUUACUCUAAGGAUAACAGGCUGAUCUCCCCCAAGAGUUCACAUCGACGGGGAGGUUUGGCACCUGGAUGUCGGCUCAUCGCAUCCUGGGGCGGUAGUACGUCCCAAGGGUUGGGCUGUUCGCCCAUGAAAGCGGUACGCGAGCUGGGUUCAGAACGUCGUGAGACAGUUCGGUCCAUAUCCGGUGUAGGCGUUAGGAUAUUGAGAGGAGCCUUCUUUAGUACGAGAGGACCGAGAAGGACAUACCUCUGGUGUACCAGUUAUCGUGCCAACGGUAAACGCUGGGUAGCUAUGUAUGGAGUGGAUAACCGCUGAAAGCAUCUAAGUGGGAAGCCCACCUCAAGAUAAGUAUUCUC